AGAGUUUGAUCCUGGCUCAGAAUCAACGCUGGCGGCGUGCCUAACACAUGCAAGUCGAACGAGAAAGUGGAGCAAUCCAUGAGUACAGUGGCGACCGGGUGAGUAACACGUGACCAACCUGCCCUCGAGUGGGGAAUAACCCCGGGAAACCGGGGCUAAUACCGCAUAACAUCGCAAGAUCAAAGCAGCAAUGCGCUUGAGGAGGGGGUCGCGGCUGAUUAGCUAGUUGGUAGGGUAAUGGCCUACCAAGGCGAAGAUCGGUAUCCGGCCUGAGAGGGCGCACGGACACACUGGAACUGAAACACGGUCCAGACUCCUACGGGAGGCAGCAGUGGGGAAUUUUGCGCAAUGGGGGAAACCCUGACGCAGCAAGGCCGCGUGGAGGAUGAAGUCCCUUGGGACGUAAACUCCUUUCGACCCGGACGAUACUGACGGUACGGGUGGAAGAAGCACCGGCUAACUCUGUGCCAGCAGCCGCGGUAAUACAGAGGGUGCGAGCGUUGUUCGGAAUUAUUGGGCGUAAAGGGCGCGUAGGCGGCGCGGUAAGUCACCUGUGAAAUCUCCUGGCUCAACUGGGAGCUUGCAGGCGAAACUGCCGUGCUGGAGUGUGGGAGAGGUGCGUGGAAUUCCUGGUGUAGCGGUGAAAUGCGUAGAUAUCAGGAGGAACACCUGUGGCGAAAGCGGCGCACUGGACCACAACUGACGCUGAGGCGCGAAAGCUAGGGGAGCAAACAGGAUUAGAUACCCUAGUAGUCC
This 756-nucleotide ribosomal RNA is filed under the name uncultured bacterium. RNAcentral's name for it is "bacterial SSU rRNA". It matches the Rfam family "Bacterial small subunit ribosomal RNA", at positions 8 to 796 of the family's 1533-position model. The record is from RNAcentral.